RNAcentral lists this long non-coding RNA (1587 nucleotides) under Nicotiana benthamiana. Its description in RNAcentral is "long non-coding RNA (NBEN_LNC006289)". The record is from RNAcentral. Lineage: Eukaryota; Viridiplantae; Streptophyta; Magnoliopsida; Solanales; Solanaceae.
GGUAGCAGAAAAAUAUUAGACCUUUAAUUGAAUAUCACCUUCAAUGUUGUGUCAUUAAAAGAACUCCCUAAUAAAGUAUAAUUCAUACUGCAGCUUCUUACUUGCGUGGUUGUGGAAAAUGGCCAAGCUUUUCAAACUGCUUAGUAGUGGACUGGUGGUGGCGGAGAACCGUAAAUGUAUACCGGAGGGGGAGGUGAUUUUACGGGUGGGGGAGGUGAAGUGUAGUGGUAUGGAGGGGGAGGUGAUUUCACGGGUGGGGGAGGUGAAGUGUAAUGGUAUGGAGGGGGAGGUGAUUUUACGGGUGGGGGAGGUGAAGUGUAGUGGUAUGGAGGAGGAGGAGACUUCACAGGUGGAGGUGGAGAGUGGUAAUAGUAAGGAGGUGGGGGGGAUGGUGAUGGUGGUGGUGGAGACUUGUAAUAGUAAGGUGGGAGACUUGUAAUAGUAGGGUGGUGGGGGUGAUGGUGACGGGGGUGGUGGCGAUUUGUAGUAGUAAGGUGGAGGAGGUGACGGUGAUGGUGGUGGUGGAGACUUGUAGUAAUAGGGAGGUGGGGGUGAUGGUGAUGGGGGUGGUGGCGAUUUGUAGUAGUAUGGCGGAGGUGGUGAUGGUGAUGGUGGUGGUGGAGACUUGUAGUAAUAGGGCGGUGGAGGUGAUGGGGAUGGUGGUGGCGGGGAUUUGUAAUAGUAUGGUGGAGGAGGUGAUGGUGAUGGCGGGGGAGGGGACUUGUAGUAAUAUGGUGGUGGAGAUGGAGAUGGUGGUGGUGGAGACUUAUAAUAGUAUGGUGGAGGAGGAGACGGCGAUGGUGGUGGAGGAGACUUGUAAUAGUAGGAAGGUGGGGGUGAGGGUGAUGGUGGUGGUGGUGACUUAUAAUAGUAUGGUGGAGGAGGAGAUGGCGAUGGUGGUGGAGGAGACUUGUAAUAGUAAGGAGGUGGGGGUGAUGGUGAUGGGGGUGGGGGUGACUUGUAAUAAUAGGGAGGUGGUGGUGAUGGAGAUGGGGGUGGUGGUGACUUGUAAUAGUAUGGUGGAGGUGGAGAUGGGGAUGGUGGUGGAGGAGACUUGUAAUAGUAAGGUGGAGGUGGAGAAGGUGAUGGUGGUGGAGGAGACUUGUAAUAGUAAGGUGGUGGCGACUUGUAUACAUAUUUUGGUGAUGGAGGAGGCGGUGACUUGUAUAGGUACUUGGGUGAUGGAGGAGGCGGUGACUUAUACACGUAUUGCGGUGAUGGAGGAGGCGGUGACUUAUACAUGUACUUUGGUGGUGGAGGUGGUGGUGACUUGUAUAUAUAUUUUGGUGAUGGAGGUGGCGGUGACUUGUAUACGUACUUGGGUGAUGGAGGAGGCGGUGACUUGUACACGUAUUGAGGUGAUGGAGGAGGCGGUGACUUGUACAUGUACUUUGGUGAUGGAGGAGGUGGUGACUUGUAUAUAUAUUUUGGUGAUGGAGGAGGUGGAGAUUUGUAAUAAUAAGGAGCAGGAGUUGGCUUAGGCUUCAUGCAUUCUUCAUAAGGAGUUUUAGAGGCAUAAGCAAAUGGUUUUGCAUAGAGCACAACUUCAUAUUUAUUCUUUGACUUCACACUGAGGCUUGCACCUUU